GGCAAGUAGGGCGAUGGUCGCCGGAUCGGACUCGAACGCGUUAUUGGCCUCCGAAGCCAAAGGUCGCAGGUUCGAAUCCUGCCAGGGUCA
RNAcentral lists this transfer RNA (90 nucleotides) under Planctomycetota bacterium. Its description in RNAcentral is "Planctomycetes bacterium (activated sludge metagenome) tRNA-Ser". The stretch from base 28 to 90 matches the Rfam family "tRNA". Rfam says of the family: Transfer RNA (tRNA) molecules are approximately 80 nucleotides in length. Their secondary structure includes four short double-helical elements and three loops (D, anti-codon, and T loops). Further hydrogen bonds mediate the characteristic L-shaped molecular structure. tRNAs have two regions of fundamental functional importance: the anti-codon, which is responsible for specific mRNA codon recognition, and the 3' end, to which the tRNAs corresponding amino acid is attached (by aminoacyl-tRNA synthetases). tRNAs cope with the degeneracy of the genetic code in two manners: having more than one tRNA (with a specific anti-codon) for a particular amino acid; and 'wobble' base-pairing, i.e. permitting non-standard base-pairing at the 3rd anti-codon position. Lineage: Bacteria; Pseudomonadati; Planctomycetota. The record is from RNAcentral.